UGGGGAAUAUUGGACAAUGGGCGCAAGCCUGAUCCAGCCAUGCCGCGUGAGUGAUGAAGGCCCUAGGGUUGUAAAGCUCUUUCACCGGGGAAGAUAAUGACGGUAUCCGGAGAAGAAGCCCCGGCUAACUUUGUGCCAGCAGCCGCGGCAAUACGAAGGGGGCUAGCGUUGUUCGGAUUUACUGGGCGUAAAGCGUACGUAGGCGGACUUUUAAGUCAGGGGUGAAAUCCCGAGGCUCAACCCCGGAACUGCCUUUGAUAAUGGAAGGCUUGAAUAUGGUAGAGGUGAGUGGAAUUCCGGGUGGAGAGGUGAAAUUCGUAGAUAUUCGGAGGAACACCAGUGGCGAAGGCGGCUCAAUGGACCAUUACUGACGCUGAGGUGCGAAAGCGUGGGGAGCAAACAGG
RNAcentral lists this ribosomal RNA (404 nucleotides) under Verrucomicrobiota bacterium. RNAcentral's name for it is "Verrucomicrobia bacterium partial 16S ribosomal RNA". It matches the Rfam family "Bacterial small subunit ribosomal RNA", at positions 355 to 776 of the family's 1533-position model. The record is from RNAcentral. Lineage: Bacteria; Pseudomonadati; Verrucomicrobiota.